Molecule: transfer RNA, 56 nt
Filed under: Alligator mississippiensis (American alligator)
Lineage: Eukaryota; Metazoa; Chordata; Crocodylia; Alligatoridae
Rfam family: tRNA
About the family: Transfer RNA (tRNA) molecules are approximately 80 nucleotides in length. Their secondary structure includes four short double-helical elements and three loops (D, anti-codon, and T loops). Further hydrogen bonds mediate the characteristic L-shaped molecular structure. tRNAs have two regions of fundamental functional importance: the anti-codon, which is responsible for specific mRNA codon recognition, and the 3' end, to which the tRNAs corresponding amino acid is attached (by aminoacyl-tRNA synthetases). tRNAs cope with the degeneracy of the genetic code in two manners: having more than one tRNA (with a specific anti-codon) for a particular amino acid; and 'wobble' base-pairing, i.e. permitting non-standard base-pairing at the 3rd anti-codon position.
Source: Rfam by way of RNAcentral
UGGUUCAGUGGUAGAAUCCUUGUCUGCCAUACAAGUGACCUGGGUUUGAUUUCCAG